This is a ribosomal RNA of 439 nucleotides. It matches the Rfam family "Bacterial small subunit ribosomal RNA", at positions 17 to 456 of the family's 1533-position model.
UCCUGGCUCAGGAUGAACGCUGGCGGCGUGCUUAACACAUGCAAGUCGAACGAUGAAGCCCAGCUUGCUGGGUGGAUUAGUGGCGAACGGGUGAGUAACACGUGAGUAACCUGCCCUUAACUCUGGGAUAAGCCUGGGAAACUGGGUCUAAUACCGGAUAGGAGCGUCCACCGCAUGGUGGGUGUUGGAAAGAUUUAUCGGUUUUGGAUGGACUCGCGGCCUAUCAGCUUGUUGGUGAGGUAAUGGCUCACCAAGGCGACGACGGGUAGCCGGCCUGAGAGGGUGACCGGCCACACUGGGACUGAGACACGGCCCAGACUCCUACGGGAGGCAGCAGUGGGGAAUAUUGCACAAUGGGCGCAAGCCUGAUGCAGCGACGCCGCGUGAGGGAUGACGGCCUUCGGGUUGUAAACCUCUUUCAGUAGGGAAGAAGCGAAAG